UGGGGAAUCUUAGACAAUGGGGGCAACCCUGAUCUAGCCAUGCCGCGUGAGUGACGAAGGCCCUAGGGUCGUAAAGCUCUUUCGCCAGGGAUGAUAAUGACAGUACCUGGUAAAGAAACCCCGGCUAACUCCGUGCCAGCAGCCGCGGUAAUACGGAGGGGGUUAGCGUUGUUCGGAAUUACUGGGCGUAAAGCGCACGUAGGCGGAUUUUUAAGUUAGAGGUGAAAUCCCAGGGCUCAACCCUGGAACUGCCUUUAAUACUGGAAGUCUUGAGUUCGAGAGAGGUGAGUGGAAUUCCGAGUGUAGAGGUGAAAUUCGUAGAUAUUCGGAGGAACACCAGUGGCGAAGGC
Molecule: ribosomal RNA, 350 nt
Filed under: uncultured bacterium
Lineage: Bacteria
Description: bacterial SSU rRNA
Rfam family: Bacterial small subunit ribosomal RNA
Source: RNAcentral